This 28-nucleotide non-coding RNA is filed under the name Homo sapiens (human). The record is from RNAcentral. Lineage: Eukaryota; Metazoa; Chordata; Mammalia; Primates; Hominidae.
AGGCAAGAAAUACAAGCUGGGAGGUGAG